Long non-coding RNA from Glycine soja, 399 nucleotides. RefSeq lists it as uncharacterized. The record is from RefSeq and is a predicted model, not a curated record. Lineage: Eukaryota; Viridiplantae; Streptophyta; Magnoliopsida; Fabales; Fabaceae. The transcript is spliced from 2 exons.
GUUCUUUUUUAUCCUUCCCAUCCCAAGCAUUCAACAACUUCUCAAUUUUAUAAGCUCUCAUUCAACAACAUCAUUUUGAAGGUUCUAGAUCUAACUCGGGGAAAUCAGAGGUUGGUGGCAAGCAAUGAUCGCAGUGUGGUUUACAUCAAUGAUAGUUAGUACGUAGUGGUAUCUAUAUAAUGUGUAGAUAACAAAUUUAUAUCUACAAUCUAGGUCAUAUUGGAAAAAAGACAAAUAAAAUGCAUUCUUGUAGCAAUGUAAUCCCUAAGUUGAUGAAAUUUCAAUAAUUCCCCCUCUCCCCUCUUAAAAUUAAAAGUAUGGUUGUAAAUUGGCUUCUAUAAGUUGCAAUAGUGCGCAUUGGGAAAAAAAUAAUCCUAAAUUAAGUUUUUAUUUAAUCCA